UCCGUAGGUGAACAUGCGGAAGGAUCAUUAUUG
RNAcentral lists this ribosomal RNA (33 nucleotides) under Thanatephorus cucumeris. RNAcentral describes it as "partial 18S ribosomal RNA". The record is from RNAcentral. Lineage: Eukaryota; Fungi; Basidiomycota; Agaricomycetes; Cantharellales; Ceratobasidiaceae.